This 294-nucleotide ribosomal RNA is filed under the name uncultured microorganism. RNAcentral's name for it is "partial 16S ribosomal RNA". It matches the Rfam family "Bacterial small subunit ribosomal RNA", at positions 505 to 796 of the family's 1533-position model. The record is from RNAcentral.
GUGCCAGCAGCCGCGGUAAUACGAAAGGGUGCAAGCGUUACUCGGAAAUUACUGGGCGUAAAGCGUGCGUAGGUGGUCGUUUAAGUCCGUUGUGAAAGCCCUGGGCUCAACUUGGGAACUGCAGUGGAUACUGGGCGACUAGAAUGUGGUAGAGGGUAGCGGAAUUCCUGGUGUAGCAGUGAAAUGCGUAGAGAUCAGGAGGAACAUCCAUGGCGAAGGCAGCUACCUGGACCAACAUUGACACUGAGGCACGAAAGCGUGGGGAGCAAACAGGAUUAGAUACCCUGGUAGUCC